GACGAACGCUGGCGGCGUGCUUAAUACAUGCAAGUCAACUUGACUUUAGAUAGCAAUAUCGAAAAGUAGGGUGGCGCACGGGUGCGUAACGCGUAGGUAAUCUGCCCUGAGGUCUGACAUAACCCGUCGAAAGGCGGGCUAACAUCAGAUGAUAUAUAAUCACGACAUCGUGGAAAUAUCAAAUCUUCGGAGCCUUGGGAUGAGCCUGCGUCUGAUUAGGUAGUUGGCGGAGUAAUAGCCCACCAAGCCUACGAUCAGUAGCUGGUCUGAGAGGAUGAUCAGCCACACUGGAACUGAGACACGGUCCAGACUCCUACGGGAGGCAGCAGUAAGGAAUAUUGCUCAAUGGGGGAAACCCUGAAGCAGCAACGCCGCGUGAAGGAUGAAAUACUUUUGUAUGUAAACUUCUGUAAGAUGGGAAAAUAUUCUCCUCGGGAGAAUUGAUUGUACCAUCAGAGUAAGCCCCGGCUAACCUACGUGCCAGCA
Molecule: ribosomal RNA, 486 nt
Filed under: uncultured bacterium
Lineage: Bacteria
Description: bacterial SSU rRNA
Rfam family: Bacterial small subunit ribosomal RNA
Source: RNAcentral